UGCCCGGGGGUCGAGGAUAGCGUCGGGAAACUGACGGUAAUACUCGAUAAUGUUUACGGACCAAAGGUUUACUGCCCCUGGAUGAGCCCAUGCCCCCAUUAGCUAGUUGGCGGUGUAAUAGACCACCAAGGGCGAUGAUGGGUAGCUGGUGUGAGAGCACGACCAGCCCUCACUGGCACUGAGACACUGGCCAGACACCUACGGGGUGGCUGCAGUCGAGAAUCUUCGGCAAUGGACGAAAGUCUGACCGAGCGACGCCGCGUGCGGGACGAAGGCCUUCGGGUUGUAAACCGCUGUCGAGGGGGAUUAAGGGCAACUUGAAAGAACCCUGGAGGAAGGAGAGGCUAAGCUCGUGCCAGCAGCCGCGGUAAGACGAGCUCUCCAAACGUUAUUCGGUAUCACUGGGCUUAAAGAGUUCGUAGGCGGCUUUGCAGGUGGGGUGUGAAAGCCCUCGGCUCAACCGAGGAAUUGCGCCCCAAACCGUAAGGCUUGAGGGAUAUAGGGGU
This 506-nucleotide ribosomal RNA is filed under the name uncultured organism. Its description in RNAcentral is "bacterial SSU rRNA". It matches the Rfam family "Bacterial small subunit ribosomal RNA", at positions 127 to 658 of the family's 1533-position model. The record is from RNAcentral.